This 1029-nucleotide long non-coding RNA is filed under the name Homo sapiens (human). Its description in RNAcentral is "long non-coding RNA NONHSAT052176.2". The record is from RNAcentral. Lineage: Eukaryota; Metazoa; Chordata; Mammalia; Primates; Hominidae.
UGGAGUCGCCCGCCUCGAGCCAGCCCGCCAGCAUGCCCCAGUCCAAAGAAAAUCCAAGAGGAAGAAGGAUCUACGGAUAUCCUGCAUGUCCAAGCCACCCGCACCCAACCCCACCCCCCCCGGAACCUGGACUCCCGGACCUUCAUCACCAUUGGAGACAGAACUUUGAGGUGGAGGCUGAUGACUUGGUGACCAUCUCAGAACUGGGCCGUGGAGCCUAUGGGGUGGUAGAGAAGGUGCGGCACGCCCAGAGCGGCACCAUCAUGGCCGUGAAGGGAUCCGGGCCACCGUGAACUCACAGGAGCAGAAGCGGCUGCUCAUGGACCUGGACAUCAACAUGCGCACGGUCGACUGUUUCUACACUGUCACCUUCUACGGGGCACUAUUCAGAGAGGAGACGUGUGGAUCUGCAUGGAGCUCAUGGACACAUCCUUGGACAAGUUCUACCGGAAGGUGCUGGAUAAAAACAUGACAAUUCCAGAGGACAUCCUUGGGGAGAUUGCUGUGUCUUCGUGCGGGCCCUGGAGCAUCUGCACAGCAAGCUGUCGGUGAUCCACAGAGUGUGAAGCCCUCCAAUGUCCUUAUCAACAAGGAGGGCCAUGUGAAGAUGUGUGACUUUGGCAUCAGUGGCUACUUGGUGGACUCUGUGGCCAAGACGAUGGAUGCCGGCUGCAAGCCCUACAUGGCCCUGAGAGGAUCAACCCAGAGCUGAACCAGAAGGGCUACAAUGUCAAGUCCGACGUCUGGAGCCUGGGCAUCACCAUGUUGAGAUGGCCAUCCUGCGGUUCCCUUACGAGUCCUGGGGGACCCCGUUCCAGCAGCUGAAGCAGGUGGUGGAGGAGCCGUCCCCCCAGCUCCCAGCCGACCGUUUCUCCCCCGAGUUUGUGGACUUCACUGCUCAGUGCUGAGGAAGAACCCCGCAGAGCGUAUGAGCUACCUGGAGCUGAUGAGCACCCCUUCUUCACCUUGCACAAAACCAAGAAGACGGACAUUGCUGCCUUCGUGAAGGAGAUCCUGGGAGAAGACUCA